This 325-nucleotide ribosomal RNA is filed under the name uncultured eukaryote. Its description in RNAcentral is "partial 18S ribosomal RNA". It matches the Rfam family "Eukaryotic small subunit ribosomal RNA", at positions 1470 to 1796 of the family's 1831-position model. The record is from RNAcentral.
CCCUUAGAUGUCCGGGGCCGCACGCGCGCUACACUGAUGCAUUCAACGAGCUUUACCUUGGCCGAGAGGCCUGGGCAAUCUUUUAAACCUGCAUCGUGAUAGGGAUAGAUUAUUGCAAUUAUUAAUCUUGAACGAGGAAUUCCUAGUAAACGCAAAUCAUCAAUUUGCAUUGAUUACGUCCCUGCCCUUUGUACACACCGCCCGUCGCACCUACCGAUUGAAUGGUCCGGUGAAGCCUCGGGAUUGUGGCCAGUUCACUUUAUUGGGAGUUGGCUGUGAGAACUUGUCUAAACCUUAUCAUUUAGAGGAAGGUGAAGUCGUAACA